AGGGUUGGGGGGGAGUUAGUUGUAGGGUGUGGGACAGGGUUGGGGGAAGGGUUGUUGGUUUUUUAGGGUGUGGGACAGGGUUGGGGGAAGGCGGGUGUUGGUUGUAGGGUGUGGGUCAGGGUUGGAGGAGGUGUUAGUUGUAGGGUGUGGGACAGGGUUGGAGGAGGUGUUAGUUGUAGGGUGUGGGACAGGGUUGGGGGAUGUUGGUUGUUGUUGUAGGGUGUGGGGUAGGGUUGAGGGGGUGUUGGUUGUAGGGUAUGGGGUAGGGUUGGGGGGUGUUGGUUGUAGGGUGUGGGACAGGA
Molecule: long non-coding RNA, 302 nt
Organism: Anguilla rostrata (American eel)
Lineage: Eukaryota; Metazoa; Chordata; Actinopteri; Anguilliformes; Anguillidae
Exons: 4
Source: RefSeq, a predicted model, not a curated record